Long non-coding RNA from Limulus polyphemus (Atlantic horseshoe crab), 9814 nucleotides. RefSeq lists it as uncharacterized. The transcript has 3 exons. Lineage: Eukaryota; Metazoa; Arthropoda; Merostomata; Xiphosura; Limulidae. The record is from RefSeq and is a predicted model, not a curated record.
GUUCACAAGAAGACCAGGGACAGGCUUCCUGCCAUAGAAUGAUCCCAUCUCAAUUAGUAUGUACACACUCCUCACUUUACCAUGGAGACAUACCUUUCUCUUUGGUGGGCAUUUUCUCCAGGUCUUUAGAUGACCAAGGUGGACAUUUCCAAUGGUUAUCUACACAUUCUUUCAAUCAUCUUUCCCGACCAGAUCUAGUUUAUCCCACGUAGUGGUUUCGGCAUCCUGCCAUUUUCCGGUGGCUCUGUCUGCAUUUGGGUAUGCCCCAUAUAGAUGCCUUUGCCACUGUUCUCAAUCACAAAUUACCUCAGGUUUUGGUCUCAGGUCACCCAUCCUCGAGCCUUGGCUGUUGAUGUCUUCAAUCAGGAUUGGUCUCAUCUGUUCCUUUAUGUUUACCCACCCAUCCGUUUACUUUAUUGGAUGGUCUCCCUCAUCCAUGACACUCCAUGCACAGUCCUUCUGAUUGCUCCUUACUGGCCUGCUCAACCUCGGUUUCCUCAGUUGCUCCAACUUCAGGUGGUCCUUCCUCUUCCCUUCUGUCCCUACCUGCUCUAUUAACUCCAGUCACCAGUGCUUCAUCCUGCACUGUCAGUCCUCCGUCUUCACACCUGGCUUUUUCAAGUCCUUGGCAAGGACUUCCAGUUUCUCUCACAGAAUAGCUUCACAUUUAGCCUGUUCCAUUUGGCCAUCUAUCAAUGCAAAUGGAGCAUUUAUCACUCCUGGGCAUUGACUUGGGGUUUCCAGGCUUCUCACCCAAUGGUUACCUGUAUCUCCGAGUUUCUCACAUAGCUCUUUGAGAGGGGUUCUUUGGUCUCCUCGAUUUCAGGGUUUUGGGCAAUGUUAUCCCACACGUUCUGUUUUUUCCACUUCUGUAGGGUCUUUUCCUCCCCUGUCCUUUCCAUGUUGAUUCGAUCCUUACGGCUCCAUCCACCACAGAGAUGUCAGUCAUUCCCUGACUGUGUCAUUGACGUGGUCGUUCAUGCCCUCACUUUACCUCCAUUUGAACCUCUGUCUAUAUGUUCCGUAUUUUGAAGGUGCAUUUACUUCUCCUCCUGGUCUGCAGGUGUUGUAGGUCAGAUAUUUUCGCUCUCAAUGUUACCAGGACCUUGUACCACUCUUCCUACCUUAUCCUUUAUUCAGAUCGUGCUUUCCUUCCCAAGACUUCUGUGGCUCGAUAAGGUAAGUCCUCUUUUUCCUCUAUCUGCCUAUCCUCUAUAUCUCACCUCUACCCUCAUUCUGAUCUGGAUAGACUCCUCUCUCUUGUCUGUGCCCUAUGCUGUCCUAUUGAUCACACGACUUCCUUCCAGGGUUCUUGUUUCUGCCUUUUCAUCCCUUGAUAAACUUCCUCUUCCUGUGAUCUUUUCCCAGUUACUUUGACUAAUUGGGUUCAACAUUGGCCUAUUCCUCCUUGUCUCCUUCCCAGCAUGAUAUCUUUCACGUUUCCUCACAUUAAAUCCGUUAUCUUACCUUCUCCCUUGCCUCUCGUCUUCGUCAGCCAUUGGAAGAUAUUCUAUGAUCGGGCAUGUGGAUAACUCUGCACACAUUCAUCUUGGUUGAGAAUGUCACUGAUCUUAUUUGUAGUGAGACUGAGACAUAUUUAGAUCUGUGGCAGGCCUCCUGGGGGCUGUGACCCUGCAUUUGAGGGCAAUCCUUGACAUUUUGGAGAGACUUUAGAUUCACAUUUUCCUGUGUCUUCUUUUAGUCUGUUGGAUUUUCAAACCUCCUGUUGGUCAGUGGUAAGUUUACAGAAUAGCAGCACCAGGGUUUGAUUCCCUAGGGUGGAUAUGACAGAUGGCCCACAGUUGCUUUUCUCUAAAAAAAAACUUACUUUACCAUGGUCUUUAAAUGACCUGUGAAAAACAGAAAGGAAGCCACUUUGGGAUAAGCUGCCUUUGAUUUGUUUUCCUUCUGUUGGUUCUUUGAGUGUGUGAUGUUUUGGGCUUUUUCCCAGUUGCUUUUGAGCCUGCAACUUGAUGGCUGAAACUGUGGUUCAUGCUGGAAGGUUUACUUCUUUGUUACAUGAAGGGAUAGUUAGGCCUUAUCUGACACAUUGUUGAAACUUCAUGAUUUCACCUACCACCACCAAGUAGAGGCAUUUUUCUGAUUCUCAAAUAAUAUGUACUUGAAUUUUGGGGUUCUAAGGCUGAGUUUGUAGCUCGCCUACAUGGGACAAAGUAAGUUUACAGACUUACAAUUCAACUUCAACAUUUUGUAUCAUUUCACUUCAUUUUGUUAGAAGACUCUCAGGAUCACAAGCUUCAUUUAGGAUGAGCUGGAUCCAUUGUUAGAAUGCAUGUUGGUUCAAUUUUCGGCUUCUGUGUUCUGUGGUUGUUGGAGUCUUGAUUUUCAUUGGCUCCUACAGGGGGGGGGGGCAUAGUUCUGCCCCUGUUCAUGAAUACCAAUCCAUGACAUCAGUUCCUCAGUCAUAGAUACUCAGAAUAGAUUCUGUCUAUAUCCAAGGUUUCCAAGAGUUUCUGGAUGUGUGACAAUAUUAACCAUUGGUCCAGAAGCUCUGCAGGUCUUUGGGGGCACAGUUGGUUGUUCAGUUCACAUCUUCUCCACUAUUAUCCACCCAAUGUGUAGGAUUUCAAUUUCCCACAGUUUAUUGGGAUUUGGAACUUAGUUCUAGGGUUAUCUGAGUCUGGUUGGUCUGGGGGUAGUGAGAGAAUUGGGCUAGUUCUUCUGCUAGUUGUUGGGCCUAUGAAGACAGGAGAUUGGUGUCCAGUCAUUGAUCUUCCUUGUCUAUAUCAAUGCCUAGAUUCUCCAAGGUUCACAAGUUAAUCAUUCCUCAAUAUGUGUUUAUUUUUUUGUAGAUGUCCAGUUUGGUUGUAGUCCGCUCCUAUUUACACUUUGCUUUAGUGGUGGAGUCCUACAACUAUCAGUGUUUUUGAUGCAUAAGAGUUCAGUACUGCAGUUCCCAUUUUUGUUCUUCUUUCUUGCAUAGGCUUUUAACAUGGUUGAGUAAGGCAUACACAAUCCUGUCAUUCUGAGCCUGGAGUGUUGCCUUUUGGGCUUCUUCAGGUGGAGGAGAAAGUUUGUCCGCUUCGGUGUUGCUUACUUUCUCUAUGGCUACAGGUUGGGAUCCCAUCAAAAGUAUAUCUGUGUAUAAUGUUGCAAUCCAAUUGCCCUAGCAACCAACGUGGGAUAUAGGGAUUUUUAAAGGAACACCAGAUAUUUGUACAAAAGGUGUAAUGAUAACAUCAUUUGCACAAGAAUUAUGAUGUUUUUUAGCUUAUGUAAAAUAUAGAAGAAACAAAUUGACUUGUCAAUACCUCUAUGACUUUCAUAGUACGUUAUUUAGUAUUUUACAAAAGUUUGGUUACAAUAUACCAACCCAUUUUUAUUAUAGGCUGGCAAUAGAAUAAUACUAAUAAGAAGAAGAAUUACAAAUGGUCCAUUUUGAGUGGAUUUUCUUUUCCUUGUAAAUUUAAUGUGUGCUUUUUUUGUACAUUAUUAUGUGUACAGCCUUAGGCCAAAAAAGUUCUAUGUUUCUAGUCAUCUGUGCAUGUCAAUUUGACCCUUGCAUAUCAAAAGUUUAAAAAACAAACAAAAACUCCCUGUUUCAGUCAAUUGAGAAUUGCAUUUUAUUUUUUGAGCUGCAUGUAAAUAUAUUUAUGACUUUUGAGCAUGAAAGUACAAUAACUAUGUUUUCAUUACAUUGGCACUCACCCAUGCCAUUGAGGAGUGAGCACAUUUUUCCUAGCUUGUAUGGUGCUUCUGCAUCAAAAAUUAUAAUGUAGGCACUUUUAACACAAGAAAAUGUGGAACAACAAACUCUGAGACUUUUCGGUAAUGUGAACAUUCCUAACAAAUAUACAUUGAAUGACACUUUGAAAAUGUUUUGAAAGGCCUACUUGUCAGAAAUGACAGUUUCAUUCUUGAUCAUGAGUACAUUGACAGUGUAGUGCAAGUGAUUGUUUCUGAUACAGUGUCAGGCACAACACAAAGUGUACCAUUGACAUGUAAGGUUAUGGAUGUCAUUCAGUUUGGGAAAUUCUUGAGCUUUUCCCUGGAUCAACAAGAAGACCCUGGGCCCAGUACUGUCAUCAGUGCCUUUGAAUUUAGGAAAUGGGCACAGAAUCUACAAGUGUGACCAACUUUUUGAGACCAAUCUCGACCUAAUUCAAGAUAUCGCUUACACAGUUCAGUAGUUACAAGGGUUGAGCCUUGGAUGGACUAAAGAAACAAAAACUCUGAGUGAAAUUUAUGACUUUCAUAGGGGACAUUAUGUUGGAGCUCAAUCCUUAUUGUGGUACACUGAAAUGAAAGCCUUGUGGGCUUUCAUCAUUCUGGGAUCAGUUCCAGGGAUUCAACUGGCCAGAUCAACAUAAACAUUUACUCAAAAACUUACGAGAAGACCAUCUAAAAUUCCGUUCACAAAUUGUCUUCAACAUUUUAGAGGAGAGUGGCAUGACAUCAAAGAAGAAUUGGAAGGGUUUGCAAAAACUCUUCAGCAGUACUAUCAAUAUCUAUCAGGGAAGAUAACUGAAACAGCUACAAACCAACUUGAAACUGCAGAGAUUGAAGACUUCACAUACAAGGUUGACAAGAAUUACAGCAUGAGAUCAGGACUAAAUUAAUUGUAUUAAAUGUGGUUAUUAUUAGUAGCUAAAAAUGCAUCUUGAAGUGAUAUGCUGUUCGAAGUAAAUACUGACAGAAGAAGAGGACUUUGUUUUUUUAACUUCAAUCAGAUGGUCCUCACAAUCAGACAGCUGCGGGUUAAUAGAUUGUCUGGAUUUAUUGUACUAAUCCUGGUAGUAAUGAUGCUUUUUGUGACUAAGACAGCUGUUGAACAAUACCAACAAGUUCGUAAAUAUUUUCGGCUUCAAGAAUAUUCAUCACAAGUUCAAGAUAUUUCAGACUCCCUUCGUAAUCUUGAAGAAAAUGCGGUUGCUCUUGAAGAUGAAAUAGUGCCAUUGAAGAAGCUCAUUUAUGAUACUUUGAGACAGUUCAAUAAGACAAAGUUAUCAGGUGGCUAGUAUUUCAAAGAAAAUGCAGUUGUAUAUGUAAUUCCCUUUUUUUUUACUCAAAUGUUGUCUUCCAUUACUGAUCUAAUUAAACAUUUUUCAGAAACAAAAUAUAAAUCAUGGACAUGCACAGUAUUUAAAUAUAGAAUUUUAAAAAUACCUGAUGUUUUAAGCAUAAUCAGCUUUAUUUAUCAAUCAUUACUACAUUUAUUAGCUUUUAAAUCCUAUGAAAUACAUUUAGGAAUAAAACUUUGUAUUUUGUAAUAUUACUUUUGACCACCUUUGGCAUUCCAUGGUUGCAACAAAUAUAUCAUGCUUCAUGACUGUUGAAAUAAGUUGGAGUUCAAAAUAUUUCAAACUGUUCUUAUCAAGUUGCAGUAAUGUAAAGAUUAAAAGCAAAGUGUCUUUCAUUCUGAAUAUGUACUGUGUGCAACAUGGUAAGAGAAAUUUUAAUGUUCAGUUAUUUUUGCAGCAUUAAUUUUUGUUUUCUGUAUUUACCUAUUUUGUUAAUAUGUCAAGUAACAGAAAUAUUAAGUUAGCUUUUGAAUUCUAACAGUCUUCUUUAUUCGUUUUUCUAGAUUUACAUUGUAUUUUGUUUGAAUAAUGGUUUAGUAUAGGCCAGUUAAUGUUUCGUUCUCAUUGUUCAUGUCCGAAAGAGAUUCUUUUAAAAGCUAUUGCCAAGUAUACUCAUAUUUUUUAUGUGAUGCUCAUCUGUUGCAUUUUCAAAGAGUACUGUAAUAUGUUCAGUAUUCGUUAUGACAUCAAUAUACAGUUAAUUUGUAAAUUUGCUAAAGCAUAUUAAAAUGUUUCACUUUUUGCUAAUUAAAUAGCUUAAGGUGAAAAGUAAACAGAGUGGGUUCACUUAGUGUGUUCAAAUGUAAAUUUUCAACACUGGAAUUUUUUUGAAUUUGAGAUAAUCCAAAUAUUACAAAUGUGUAGAUUACACCAUUAAUUAUGUACAAAUUAUUAAUAGGAGUAAUGAUGUAAAAGUUUUUUUUUGCUUUUAAUUUUGAGCAUGGAAGCAAUAAGAUGACCUUGAUGCCUUUAUACUAAAAGUAUGCAGUUAAACCACAUGAUAUAUAAUAGUUAUUAUGACCUGAAUGAUUUGAGCAUAACAGUUACUUAUAGGGCAUAGGGUAAAUUAGAUUUAAUGACCUUUCAUGUAAUAUUUAGAAUAUUUUCAGUGUUUUUGUUUUAAAUUCAAUUUUUUUAAAGCAUACUAGUUUGUACUUUUUGUAUCAACAUUACCAUAUUGCUAUUACCUGAAGAUCUUGUGCCAGUAUAGAUUAAGCAAACAUUUUUAAAAUCAUCUGCAUUUUGUUGUUUAUGGUAUUUGUGAUUAAUUAAUCAGACUUUCUUAAAUUAGAAAGUGAAUUGAUUAUUUUGGUCAUUUGACUUAUUAAGCUUUCUAAAAUAUAAAAAUUGAUGUAGUUUUAUUACUGUAGAUAAUACUGUGCAAUUACUAUCCUACUGGAGAUUAAUUUUUCAGGGAAAAAAUGAUGUAAUUGAGAAAAAGCUUAAAGAAACUUUCAAAUGUAUGAAUGUGGGGGCUGCAUUCUCAGUUUUCUGGACAAGAAAUAGCUGUACUCAUUAUUUUUAAUUAAAUAUUGUGAAUGUGAAGAUAGGCUGAGUAUCAGAUUUUGUAAUUACUAAUUUACUGUAUUUUACUAGAAUGUAUACACUAAUUAAGUCUUACUAAUUCUGAAAAAUAUGUAUUUUUUAUUAAUCACAUACUGCUUAAAACAACCUGAAGUCAUAUAUACUCAAUUUAGCACCUGCUUUUGUUCAUCCAUUUAAUAUAAAAUCAUUAGAUGUGGAAAUAUUCGUUACAAAAUCAUUAUUUUGUGUUAGUUUUGAAGAUAAUCCUUAUAAGUAUGUUUAUUGUAAUGUUUACCAUUAAGAGUCAACAUUCAGUGCAAGCACAAAGAGUACAACUGUUUAUAAUAUUCUUUAAAGAGAAAAUGUCAUUCAUUUGAGGCCUUAUGGGAAUUCCCUUGUAUGUUGAUACAUUCUUUUGGGGUCAGUAACCAUUCCAUGAAAAAAAGUCAGGUGCUGAAGAAUGAGGCAUUGAACAAAUUUAAUUGCUUCAGUGGUUUUAAAAUAAGUUCAUUAUCAUCUAAUUCAUUAUCAAAAGAUGAUAAAUCUUUAUUGCCUUCCACAGAGCUUAAGCAAAAAAACAUUUGAUUUCUUUUGUAUGCCUAAGGAGGAAAACAGUUUUUUAUCUCACACUUUUUCACCAUGAUUAUGUGCAUGCAUAAAAUAAAUUGUUUUUACCAUUUAAUAUUUACUUUACAAAUUAAAAGUUCCUUAUGUUGAUAAUAUAAAUAUACAGCACACCUAAGAUAUAUAGUUUCAAUCAGUAAUAGACAUUUUCAUUUACUACACACAAAUGGAAUAAUUAGAUCAUUAUUACUUACAUAAAAAUUCCUUUAACAUUUGUUUUUUAUUAAAUUGUAAAUAACACUUCUUUAUCAUUGACUAGAUUCUUAGAGUGAAUAAAUUCUUAAAUUGAAAGUAGUUUUUUACAUCUAUCAUAUAACCAGUGAGUAGAGUUCUGUUGUGCUUAUUGCAUAUGAAAGGUUACUGAAUACCAUGUUUACUUAUAGUAAAUAAUUGUUUAUCAUCUAUCACAUACUGCAUACAUAAAAACUAAAUAGCUCUUUUUAUCUACUGCAGUGUUUCUCAACUUUUUGCACUCUUUCAAGUAGGGCAUUCACAGUUGUACCAGCUCAUGAUAGUCCAUAGCUGCAUAUCACAGCCCAUAAGUUGAGAAUCAUAAAUUUACACAAGUAAAGAGUAAAUAUAGUUCUGUAUCAUCACUUGUUCUUGAUGAUUUAUUGUGCAGAAAGUUAAAUGUUAUUUUUCAUGUUUUGUUAGAUUAAGAUUAAGUAGUUAUUUACACAUAAUAAAUCCUUAAUAUUCAGUUAUACGUACAGCAGAUAAGAUGCAUCGACAUACGUGUGUUUUUUGUGAAGUAUUUUGAAGCAUUGAUUUAGCUUUAAAUGUGAUAUGAUUCUAUAUUGUUUCUAAAUGCUGUAAAAUUAGACUGCUUAAAAAUGAAAUCAUGUUAUCACUCAAAAUAUAAUUUGUUUGUCACAGGUACUAAAUGUAAAUGUCAUAGUAUAUUUAAGCUACCAAACUAUUCAAUUAGGAAUCCAUAAGAUCUAUUUAAAUCUUUUAUAAACUGAAGUAUUUGACAUGUACCGUAUGCCAGUUUUUUCUGCCAUAAUCAUGAGGUUUUCAACCACCUUAUACCAGUAAAACAAAGAAAUGUAUAUAUGUUAUAAUGGUGUAUAUAACAGCAUAAGAAACUAAAUUAAGUAUUCCAGAGCAGGUGAAAUAAGUAUUUAACUAUCAACAGAAUACAGUAUCUUGCAGAACAGGUGUAUAUAUAUUGGUACCAAAUAAGAAGAGUUCUAUGAGAAUUGUGAUUUGUCUGUGAUGAUAUUCUAUUUUGGGAGCAAACUAGAGUUUGAACUGAAGAUAUAACUAAACAUACACAUGUGUACUAGUUCGCUGUACAUAAUGUAUUGUUGGAAGCCAAAAUGAUAUUUUUGAAAUUGUUAACCUGUGUAUUAAAAUCCAAAAUAUGUAAAGAAUAAUUGUCGGUGGUAUAGUAAGAUAACUUGAAGUUAAUGUUUGUGAUGUAAAGUCUGAAUAUGAGAAUUUGUUCAGCAGUGGAAAAGUUUUUUAAUGAGUAUUUGUACUUUGAGUUACUUAAAAAAAAGCAUUUCCUUUCAUCUGAUUAAGGUAAUGGUAAUAUUUUAUGUGGUAAAAGGUAAUGUUUUAUGGCAAUUUUGAUGCUCAUUUUGGAGGUAAACUAAGAAGUGAUAUUUCUAUUAGCAAUGAUAACAUAAACUGCAUUUCUUAGAUUAACUUCUUGCCCUCUGUUGGUUUUGAGAUGUUGUGAAAAUGCUCUGUUUAUAUUGGAUUCAUUGUUUUUGACUUGAGUUUGUAUUUUUAAUAAUAGGAUAUUAGCUAAGUUUCAUGAUAUGCUAUCUUACAAGCAAAGUAUUUUGUAGCACUCAGUAAUAUGAGUUUGGUGAUUUUCAAUUUUUAGUUUGUGUUCCACAAACAACUGAUUAUGAUAGCAGUAAAUUAUAAAACUUAUUGAAGUUUGCAAUGACUUCAGCAACUUUUGUUUAUAUAUUUUUUCAUGAAUUAAAUAACAUUUUUCAAAAUCCAACAAAAAUGUUUAAAUAUGCACAUAUUUAACAAGGAAAAUUAUUUUAUGCGGUUUCAUAAAAUAGUUAUUAUGUGUAAAUCCCGGAACAGGUGACAAAACUUGUGGUAAGUAGAUAAGAAAAUUCUCUUGAAGUUCAAUGUAUUUAUUGUUUUAUUAAUUUAUAUAUAGAAAAUUGGGUUUUAAGUAGAUAGACAUUAUGGUCUGAAAAUAUCUUAAAGAAUGUGAUAAAGAAAUUGUGUCUAACUAUAUAUGUAGCUGAAUGGGAAUUUAACCUGUAUUAGGAUUUGAUGGUAAAGUAUUUCACCUGGUAUUAGGAUAAAUCAUAACAGGUUAUACUUCAUCAAUUGUUACAGUUGGUUUGAACCAGAAUUGUCUUUAGUCUUGUUUGUGGAGAAAUAACAAGAAGUGAAAAGUUCCAUUUAUCAGUGUAUAUGUUUGGAUUGGAUUGCCUAGUUUUGAAUUGAUAUUGUAUCAGUAUUUUUUGUGAUGAAAAUUAUAUAUCAGUAGUUGUAGGAAUUAAAGUGAUUUUUACUAAACUAUUUUUAUACACUAACAAAAAUGUUAUUGAUGUUUGUUUUUUGUAUAUCAUAGUAACAAAUAUUGGUAAGUUUGGUUUGUACAUGUUGGCUAUACCAUUCAAUAAAAGUCUGAUGAAAUCUUA